Molecule: transfer RNA, 68 nt
Filed under: Leptoderma retropinna
Lineage: Eukaryota; Metazoa; Chordata; Actinopteri; Alepocephaliformes; Alepocephalidae
Description: tRNA-Phe
Rfam family: tRNA
About the family: Transfer RNA (tRNA) molecules are approximately 80 nucleotides in length. Their secondary structure includes four short double-helical elements and three loops (D, anti-codon, and T loops).
Source: RNAcentral
GCUAGCGUAGCUUAAGCAAAGCGUGACAUUGAAAAUGUUGAAAUGGACCCUCAAAAGUCCCGCAGGCA